UCCCUCUUCUAUUUCCAUUCCUUCCUAGGACUUCCUGAUCAUGUUUGUGCAUCACUUGGUCACCAUUGGGCUUAUCUCCUUCUCCUACAUCAACAAUAUGGUUCGAGUGGGAACUCUGAUCAUGUGUCUACAUGAUGUCUCAGACUUCUUGCUGGAGGCAGCCAAACUGGCCAAUUAUGCCAAGUAUCAGCGGCUCUGUGACACCCUUUUUGUGAUCUUCAGUGCUGUUUUUAUGGUUACACGACUAGGAAUCUAUCCAUUCUGAACACAAGAACCCUAUUGCCCUGCUUUUACCUUAGCCUGUGCUGACCUUCUGUGGACUCUCACAGGACCUCUGCUGCCUCACACCGUAUUUCUAGCAAGGUCGGAUCCAGACUCAGAGUACCCGGCUUGGUUGGCUUCUCAGGACUGACUCAUCUCAGGAACAGUCCUCAUUUUAUGCCUAAGAUUCUGAACACGACCCUCUUUGAGAGCUGGGAGAUAAUCGGGCCUUAUGCUUCAUGGUGGCUCCUCAAUGGCCUGCUGCUGACCCUACAGGUUCUGCAUGUCAUCUGGUCCUACCUAAUUGCACGGAUUGCUUUGAAAGCCUUGAUCAGGGGAAAGGUGAGGAUGAAAGAUGGCUUCUUUCUUUUGGGUAUGGAAGAUAGGGAUUACUCAACAGACGUUCUCUCUCCAUCAAACCUGGUGAGCCCCAUCUACUCAAGCAGGCCAAGCAAAAAGCCUAGGGCUCCAAAGUCUUCACCUCUUCGGUGACCUGUCCAGGAAGGAUUAGACCCUGUACUCUCCAUUCUUUCCUCACCUCCUUCCUUUUUUCUAUGCCUGGCAGGAGCUGGACAGUUUCAUCUCUUGCAUGUAUCGAAGGAUGACCGCAGUGAUGUGGAGAGCAGCUCAGAGGAAGAAGAUGUGACCACCUGCACAAAAAGUCCCUGUGACAGUAGCUCCAGCAAUGGUGCCAAUCGGGUGAAUGGUCACAUGGGAGGCAGCUACUGGGCUGAAGAGUAAGGUGGUUGCUAUGGGGACUUCAGCACACAUGGACUUGUAGGGCCACUGGCAACAUACUCCUCUUGGCCCUUCCCAUAUCUACUCUUCUGUGAUUGGGAGACUGCAAGGCACUGAGGAGUAUCAAAGAAGCAAAUAUUUUCACUUUGAAAGAAAACUGCCAUUUUGUAUUUAAUAGUCUCCAGGUUCUUUCAGUAAUGUUAUUUGCUCUGUGUGUUUUUGUGUGUUUGUUGAUGUGCGUUUGUGCAUAUGCGUGAGUUUCAUUGCCGGGUUGGGGCACAAUUGUGGACUGGGGCCGUGAGGCCUUCCCUGGUCCCCACUGAACCCACCUUAGUUCCACAUUUGGCUGCAUCUUGAAUUAUGCCGACUCCAGACUGUCUCCUCCUUUUUUGCCCUUGGCUCUUGACACUCUAAACCCCUGGACCAUCUGAAUGGAGCAGUCAAGUGCAGUCCCAGAUUUCUGUACUGUUCCUCUUUCACAGCUGGAAUAUGUCACAUGAUGAAGUUGUAUAGAAACAGAACCAUGGAUGGAUGGCCAGGAUUGCCGUGGUCCCUAGCUAGAUCCCCUUCCUAUCAAUCACCUGAUAGCAACAGGGACAGCUGCCAAUACCCUGCUCUUUACUCAAUGGUACCCAGGGAGGGAGCAUGGGAAGAGGGUGAGCUGAGGGCUGGGGGAGGGCAACAGCCACUGGGUGAGCUGUUCACGGUCUUAUACUAUUGUUUGUGAUUAAAAGUGCUUCAACCCACCUCUACUGUCUCAACCUCUUCAGUGACUCUAUCUGCAGUUUCCUGAAUCCAUAAGCUAAUUAAGAGCUUUUCCAGGUCUGAUUCAAAAGGCCCUGGACACCAAAUUUUUCCUUUCUGUGCAUGGUAGGAAGAGUCAGCCAGGGUGCUUACAUUUUAGAGCUUUAUGUUUUUU
RNAcentral lists this long non-coding RNA (1918 nucleotides) under Pan troglodytes (chimpanzee). RNAcentral's name for it is "long non-coding RNA NONPTRT003465". The record is from RNAcentral. Lineage: Eukaryota; Metazoa; Chordata; Mammalia; Primates; Hominidae.